GUAGUCAUAUGCUUGUCUCAGAGAUUAAGCCAUGCAUGUCCAAGUACAUACCUUCAAACGGUGAAACCGCGAAUGGCUCAUUAAAUCAGCUAUGGUUCCUUAGAUCGUACAUACUACAUGGAUAACUGUAGUAAUUCUAGAGCUAAUACAUGCCACUAUGCCCUGACCCGCGAGGGAACGGGUGGAUUUAUUAGAACAGAACCAACCGGGAGUGGCUUCGGUCAUUCCUGUUGCAUUCUGUGAUGACUCUGGAUAACUUCACUGAUCGCAGUCGGCCUUGUGUCGGCGACGGAUCCUUCAAAUGUCUGCCCUAUCAAUUUACGAUGGCAGGUGACCUGCCUACCAUGGUUCCAACGGGUAACGGGGAAU
RNAcentral lists this ribosomal RNA (369 nucleotides) under Platyhelminthes environmental sample. RNAcentral describes it as "SSU rRNA". It matches the Rfam family "Eukaryotic small subunit ribosomal RNA", at positions 20 to 370 of the family's 1831-position model. Lineage: Eukaryota; Metazoa; Platyhelminthes. The record is from RNAcentral.